UACGGAGGGUGCGAGCGUUGUCCGGAAUCAUUGGGCGUAAAGCGCACGUAGGCGGCUUUGUCAGUCAGGGGUGAAAUCCCGGGGCUCAACCUCGGAACUGCCUUUGAUACAGCAAGUCUUGAGUUCGAGAGAGGUGGGUGGAAUUCCUAGUGUAGAGGUGAAAUUCGUAGAUAUUAGGAAGAACACCGGUGGCGAAGGCGGCCCACUGGCUCGAUACUGACGCUGAGGUGCGAAAGCGUGGGGAGCAAACAGG
RNAcentral lists this ribosomal RNA (253 nucleotides) under uncultured bacterium. RNAcentral's name for it is "partial 16S ribosomal RNA". It matches the Rfam family "Bacterial small subunit ribosomal RNA", at positions 524 to 776 of the family's 1533-position model. The record is from RNAcentral.